ACGUAGGUGGCGAGUGUUGUUCGGAAUCACUGGGCAUAAAGGGUGCGUAGGCGGGAAAUCAAGCAGGAUGUGAAAUCCUAUGGCCCAACCAUAGAAUUGCAUUCUGAACUGGUUUUCUUGAGUGCAGCAGGGGAGUGCGGAAUUCCCGGUGUAGGGGUGAAAUCUAUAGAUAUCGGGAAGAACACCGGUCGCGAAGGCGGCACUCUGGGCUGUAACUGACGCUGAGGCACGAAAGCGUGGGUAUCGAACCG
RNAcentral lists this ribosomal RNA (251 nucleotides) under uncultured prokaryote. RNAcentral's name for it is "partial 16S rRNA". It matches the Rfam family "Bacterial small subunit ribosomal RNA", at positions 525 to 775 of the family's 1533-position model. The record is from RNAcentral.